RNAcentral lists this ribosomal RNA (497 nucleotides) under uncultured bacterium. RNAcentral's name for it is "partial 16S ribosomal RNA". It matches the Rfam family "Bacterial small subunit ribosomal RNA", at positions 28 to 507 of the family's 1533-position model. The record is from RNAcentral.
GACGAACGCUGGCGGCGUGCCUAAUACAUGCAAGUUGAGCGCUGAAGGUUGGUACUUGUACCGACUGGAUGAGCAGCGAACGGGUGAGUAACGCGUGGGGAAUCUGCCUUUGAGCGGGGGACAACAUUUGGAAACGAAUGCUAAUACCGCAUAAAAACUUUAAACACAAGUUUUAAGUUUGAAAGAUGCAAUUGCAUCACUCAAAGAUGAUCCCGCGUUGUAUUAGCUAGUUGGUGAGGUAAAGGCUCACCAAGGCGAUGAUACAUAGCCGACCUGAGAGGGUGAUCGGCCACAUUGGGACUGAGAAACGGCCCAAACUCCUACGGGAGGCAGCAGUAGGGAAUCUUCGGCAAUGGACGAAAGGCUGACCGAGCAACGCCGCGUGAGUGAAGAAGGUUUUCGGAUCGUAAAACUCUGUUGGUAGAGAAGAACGUUGGUGAGAGUGGAAAGCUCAUCAAGUGACGGUAACUACCCAGAAAGGGACGGCUAACUACGUG